UGGGGUUAGUAGAUACACAUUAGAAUUUAAUUAAGGCAUGAUAUCAAGCUCACCAAUUUCUGGAGUCUAUUUUCUUUCCUCAAUGAUCAUCCCCACUCCCUUUGUAAAUCAGGACAUUUAUUUCUCUCUGGAUAUCUGGCAGCUCUCCUAUUCUUCUUAAAUCUCCAGGGGAUAUCUGUGAAGACAGCUACCCAGUCACUCAUUUUGUCCAUCUAUUCCUCUUACCUCCUUUUCUGGAGCAUUACAGAAACCAGAGUAAGAAGGCUGGAGAACCCUUGAGGGUGAGCCUGUGACCCCACAUUCCCCAGAGAUUCCCAAGAGAACAGGAAUUGAGCUUGCUUCUCAGAGUCAUUGGACAAGAGUCAAGGGACAAGCAACAGAAGUAUCUCAGUGGCAGGACCCACUCGGGAGAGUUGGGGCGAGGCUGGCUGAGGUUCUCGAGGAGCUGAGUUUUGGGCUCAGGUGCCCGCCCGGCAGUGGAAUGAUGCUUCCCGACCUUUCAGACCUUUGAGACCUCUGCGCACUCUUAGAAAGCACUUCAAGCCUCCCGUUGGCACCCGGCUGCCCAGGGGAACCCCAGGGACAGGUGUCAGAGAGAUCGUGGCCCGAGAGGUGAUGGAUACCCGGAUGCACUCACGACAGCAUCUCAAAGAUUCCACGCCACUAGCUGCUCCCAAGCAUGAAGCCACCUUCCUGCAGAGGCGGCAGGAAACCAGCCUGGAGGAGGUUCUACUUUUUAUCUGGAGGAUGGACCAUCUUCUCAGGUGUCCUGAAUCUGCUGAAGGACCAUGAGGAGGAGGAGGUUGCGGGUCCCCAAGACAGAGCACAGCAGGUGGAACGGAGAAGCACCCAGAGCGGGACGCAAGCCCAGCACCCUUCAGACUGGAGCACCCUGAGCUGCGGUUCCUGAUUGGACUGUCUUUGCUUUGUCAUCACCCAAUUGACACCAGUUCUGGAUGCUUUUGAAUGGUUGGCUUUUUUUCCCCCCCUGUCUUUUCUUCUUUCUUCCUUGACCUUGGGGAUUGUAAGAGAAGAACUGCUUUGGAAAAUAUAAUUCUGUGGCUGAAAUUAGCCUUGUUUAUGAACCAAUUCUGUCCCUAGGGAUAUUUGAAUUGUCAUCCCAGAUUACCUAGUAAAUGGGGCUGCAUGGUUUGAUGUGUGUAGUACCGAUAUUUAGAUUAAAAAUACAUUUUCUUUCUUCCUUUUUUUCACAUCUGGAUCCAGGUAAUGGCCCGAGUCCCAUUUGCUUUGCUACUGAAGCGACAUCAGUGCGGCAACGCUUGGGGUUGAAAUAAAUCAAACAUAUAUUAUACCCGGGGCUCUUGCAUGCUAUUUGAGAUGUAUGAUACUCCACAAAGAAACACAAACCUUGUAGGUGGAAAUUUAAUUCCUAUCUGAUCCUGCAGCUAGAAUGGUGGAGAAAUUAUGGAUAUCAAAAGUGGCUUCAAAUACUUUGAAUGUAAACUAACCAGGAGUAGGUGGAUGCUUCUCUAAGGUAGAGCAGGGACCAGAGAUCACCUGCCCCGUCAACCGUGCCCCUUCUGGAGGAAUCUGAGAACAAGGCCCACUUCUGUGUUUGCGUUUGCGUAGCCUGUGGCGUUUCUGACUUGUGUUCUGUAACUGUGCGUGCCUCGCAAUAAAACACCUUCCACUGACUCAGCAACAAGGUCUCUGUCCAU
Long non-coding RNA from Orcinus orca (killer whale), 1679 nucleotides. RefSeq lists it as uncharacterized. The transcript has 4 exons. NCBI's taxonomy places the organism in Eukaryota, Metazoa, Chordata, Mammalia, Artiodactyla, Delphinidae. The record is from RefSeq and is a predicted model, not a curated record.